RNAcentral lists this ribosomal RNA (322 nucleotides) under Pseudomonas sp. RNAcentral describes it as "bacterial SSU rRNA". It matches the Rfam family "Bacterial small subunit ribosomal RNA", at positions 1107 to 1428 of the family's 1533-position model. The record is from RNAcentral. Lineage: Bacteria; Pseudomonadati; Pseudomonadota; Gammaproteobacteria; Pseudomonadales; Pseudomonadaceae.
GUCCUUAGUUACCAGCACGUUAUGGUGGGCACUCUAAGGAGACUGCCGGUGACAAACCGGAGGAAGGUGGGGAUGACGUCAAGUCAUCAUGGCCCUUACGGCCUGGGCUACACACGUGCUACAAUGGUCGGUACAGAGGGUUGCCAAGCCGCGAGGUGGAGCUAAUCUCACAAAACCGAUCGUAGUCCGGAUCGCAGUCUGCAACUCGACUGCGUGAAGUCGGAAUCGCUAGUAAUCGCGAAUCAGAAUGUCGCGGUGAAUACGUUCCCGGGCCUUGUACACACCGCCCGUCACACCAUGGGAGUGGGUUGCACCAGAAGUA